Molecule: long non-coding RNA, 1570 nt
Organism: Gasterosteus aculeatus aculeatus (three-spined stickleback)
Lineage: Eukaryota; Metazoa; Chordata; Actinopteri; Perciformes; Gasterosteidae
Source: Ensembl
UGACACGAUGAGGAGGUAGAGGGAAGCUGACUCUGACAAGACAACCCAUGUUUCUGGGCUACAGGACGAUAUAUAUAAAAUAUUAGCAUGUUAUUUAUGAGUUAAACUAUGAUUUUGUCUUGUAUUUUAAGCGGUACUUCAACUUCUCGCUCUUUUACAUUGUUCUUGCAUAUGUUUGUGAAGAAUAGGUAUAUUCACAAUGAUAUGAGAUGAAUUCCUCAUUCAACACGGCAACAUGUACAGAAGGCUGUUCUCUGCUUCCCAGAAUGCAUUUCAACCUCCCUCAACAACAAAACUUCCAUCUGACUUCAAACACUGUUAGAAUCACUUCUCAGUGCAACAGUCACUAAUAACAUGGCCUUCUGCGGAUUAAAGAUGUCAUCUUUUCCCUACGGACAGUUAGUAUGAUCCUUCUCUCUGUGUAUUAUCUGUAAAGAAAGCUUUUUUUUGCUUGUCUGUGUUAAAGUGUAGUAUGUGCCGGCCUCCUCAGUGUCCAUUCUGUGUACACCCUCGGGCGAGGAGCCGACCUUUGGUACCAUACUUUAUAACACCAUAGUCUGAAAGAAAACAACUGGCCAUGUUGGACGGAAGAUGAAUUUGUGUUCAUGCUGCAAUCGGUGAAAGUCCGCGACAACAGCGGCAUCACAAACUAGGUCCGCGAGUUCAUUCUAGAUGUAUGCAUUCAUUGUCGUUGUUAUUUAUGUACCUUCUUUAUAGAGAUGUAAUUAACUCUUUAAACUGAACUGAACUGACUGGCUCCUGUAAAAGAGACACUCUGCACUUUGACACCACAUCCAGGAUUUACCGCAAAAGGAUGUGGCUGCUUUUCUGCAUUUAAACCGUAGAAUGAAUUUAAGUUGUAGGCUACUAUUGAUUAACUAAAAUUAGAUUAUUAGUUGCGUACUGCUUUUCCACGGUUGUGAUGUCAAAUUAGCUUGGGUGUCUCUUUUCAGCAGUUGUUUUGUGCUCUUUUGAAAUUGCAUGACCAAUUCUGGUGGCUGGCGCGUUUGACAAUGUGGCAAGAAAGAGCGGCAGAAAGAAAGCACAAUGCUAAAUAUUAUUAUCAUUCCUUUGUAUUUAUGUGCAAAGCUAAGCUGAUAUGUUGUGGUGGAUUUUUUUAUUUGUAUUAUACAUUUACAGGUGUUGUUCGUGUCUGCUGAAAAAGGACUAGUCCUCAAAAAACAAUUGGCCACUACAGCUGAUGGUGAGAAAAAAAAAGAAGCUACAUCCUUUGUUGUUCACAUGCCCUCCAAUCAACACUCCUGUUGUAUCCCAUGUCAUGUGACGCACCCCUGCAAGACAGCUCACAAGAAGAGGCGUAUGUGUGCACGUGUGUGUGAGAGGAAGAGAGAAAUGUGUGCUUGUGUUUUUAUGCGUGUGAGCUUUGGGGAAAGCAGAUCUCUGUAUAUAGAGGCAAAGGGAACAGUAGUGUGUGUAUCUGUGUACAGAAGUCUAAAGUUGAAAGUUCAAAGGUCGAAGGCCAAAGUUAACGUGGUGCACUGUAAUACUCCCAGAGGUCUUUGUGAAAUGUCAUGUCAGAUUGUUUUUGAUUAACACAAUAAAAUGAUGC